AUACGUAGGGGGCAAGCGUUAUCCGGAAUUAUUGGGCGUAAAGAGUGCGUAGGUGGUUACCUAAGCGCAAGGUUUAAUAUAUCGGCUUAACUGAUAUCUGCCUUGCGAACUGGGCUACUUGAGUGCAGGAGGGGAAAGCGGAAUUCCUAGUGUAGCGGUGAAAUGCGUAGAUAUUAGGAGGAACACCGGCGGCGAAGGCGGCUUUCUGGGAUGUAAGUGACUCUGAGGCACGAACGCGGGGGCAACAAACAGGAUUAGAUACCCUGGUAGUCCACGCCGUAAACGAUGAGCACUAGCUGUUGGGGCCGAAUGGUCUCAGUGGCGCAGGUAACGCAAUAAGUGCUCCGCCUGGGGAGUUCGCGCGCAAGCGUAAAACUCACAUGAAUUGACGGGG
RNAcentral lists this ribosomal RNA (394 nucleotides) under uncultured bacterium. RNAcentral's name for it is "partial 16S ribosomal RNA". It matches the Rfam family "Bacterial small subunit ribosomal RNA", at positions 523 to 918 of the family's 1533-position model. The record is from RNAcentral.